GGCCACUGAGUUACCUCAGGAGUUACUGAAGCAUCUUGUUGCAAACCACAUAUCUUUAGUCCUGCUGUGAUGCAAGAGGCAGCCCGGGACACCAGGCUUAUCCUUGCUGGGAGCAAUGUUCUGCUCUGGUCAACUUGGACACCUCACGUGGAGGCUGACACGGCUUCGCAUUUGCAACUGGGAGGACUUUCCACGGUGUGAACCCUAUGCAGGCCAAAGGGUGCCGGGUGCCUGUUACCUGGCAGUGCCAGAAAGGCUUGUGCCGACUGCCCAUCACAUCACAGUCGUCCUGAGUCUCUUCAUUGGAGGGUCUGUGGGAAAGGUCUUAGUGAAUUUUUUCAUGGUUACUUCUGCUGACUAUUUUCAUCAUAGGAAGCAGCCACAAGGCAGAGCAUUCAAAAAGCGUAUUGGCCGAUUGACAGCAAGAACUUAUCUCACUCAAGAACUGGAACACUCUUUAAAAAGACAAGGGGACACUACUCAGUACAGAGAAGCUUAUAGAAAUUACAGCAUCACACCAGGGCAGGAGCCUCUCUGA
This 538-nucleotide long non-coding RNA is filed under the name Ovis aries (sheep). RNAcentral's name for it is "lncRNA (ENSOARG00000025386.1)". The record is from RNAcentral. Lineage: Eukaryota; Metazoa; Chordata; Mammalia; Artiodactyla; Bovidae.